CCUUAAAGGCCCAGGUUCUUGCCGACUUCAUCACGGAAUGCCCGACGACCGACAUACAAUCGGGGGAGGACGACCCGGUGAAGGUCGGGACCUCCGACUGUUGCCCCGACCCGACCUGGGUACUACACAUCGAUAGGGCUUCCAACGCUCAGGGGAGCGGGGCCGGUUUCCUACUCACCGGCCCAGAAGGAGUGACCACCGAACACGCCCUCC
Molecule: long non-coding RNA, 213 nt
Filed under: Elaeis guineensis (African oil palm)
Lineage: Eukaryota; Viridiplantae; Streptophyta; Magnoliopsida; Arecales; Arecaceae
Description: long non-coding RNA (EGUI_LNC073250)
Source: RNAcentral